UGCGAAGUGGAGCAAAACUCUAAAAAAACAAUCUCAGUUCAGAUUGCAGGCUGCAACUCGCCUGCAUGAAGUCGGAAUUGCUAGUAAUCGUAGGUCAGCAUACUACGGUGAAUACGUUCCCGGGCCUUGUACACACCGCCCGUCAAACCAUGAGAGUUGGCAACACCCGAAGUCGGUAGUCUAACCGCAAGGAGGACGCCGCCGAAGGUGGGGUUGAUGAUUAGGGUUAAGUCGUAACAAGGUAGC
RNAcentral lists this ribosomal RNA (246 nucleotides) under uncultured bacterium. RNAcentral describes it as "partial 16S ribosomal RNA". It matches the Rfam family "Bacterial small subunit ribosomal RNA", at positions 1256 to 1500 of the family's 1533-position model. The record is from RNAcentral.